UGGGGAAUAUUGCACAAUGGGCGCAAGCCUGAUGCAGCCAUGCCGCGUGUAUGAAGAAGGCCUCCGGGUUGUAAAGUACUUUCAGCGGGGAGGAAGGGAGUAAAGUUAAUACCUUUGCUCAUUGACGUUACCCGCAGAAGAAGCACCGGCUAACUCCGUGCCAGCAGCCGCGGUAAUACGGAGGGUGCAAGCGUUAAUCGGAAUUACUGGGCGUAAAGCGCACGCAGGCGGUUUGUUAAGUCAGAUGUGAAAUCCCCGGGCUCAACCUGGGAACUGCAUCUGAUACUGGCAAGCUUGAGUCUCGUAGAGGGGGGUAGAAUUCCAGGUGUAGCGGUGAAAUGCGUAGAGAUCUGGAGGAAUACCGGUGGCGAAGGCGGCCCCCUGGACGAAGACUGACGCUCAGGUGCGAAAGCGUGGGGAGCAAACAGG
Molecule: ribosomal RNA, 429 nt
Filed under: Chloroflexota bacterium
Lineage: Bacteria; Bacillati; Chloroflexota
Description: Chloroflexi bacterium partial 16S ribosomal RNA
Rfam family: Bacterial small subunit ribosomal RNA
Source: RNAcentral